AGUCAACCUACCCUAUGGACGGGAAUAAUCUCGGGAAACUGAGGAUAAUUCCAGAUAGAACACUAUGCCUGGAACGGUUUGUGUUCCAAAUGAUUUAUCGCCGUAGGAUGGGACUGCGUCCUAUCAGUUUGUUGGUGAGGUAAUGGCCCACCAAGACUAUUACAGGUACGGGCUCUGAGAGGAGUAGCCCGGAGAUGGGUACUGAGACACGGACCCAGGCCCUAUGGGGCGCAGCAGGCGAGAAAACUUUGCAAUGUGCGAAAGCACGACAAGGUUAAUCCGAGUGGUUCCUGCUAAAGGAACCUUUUGACGGUCCUAAAAACACCGUUGAAUAAGGGGUGGGCAAGUUCUGGUGUCAGCCGCCGCGGUAAAACCAGCACCUCAAGUGGUCAGGAUGAUUAUUGGGCUUAAAGCAUCCGUAGCCGGCUCUGUGAGUUUUCGGUUAAAUCUGUGCGCUCAACGUACAGGCUGCCGGGAAUACUGCAGAGCUAGGGAGUGGGAGAGGUAGACGGUACUUGGUAGGAAGGGGUAAAAUCCUUUGAUCUAUUGAUGACCACCUGUGGCGAAGGCGGUCUACCAGAACACGUCCGACGGUGAGGGAUGAAAGCUGGGGGAGCAAACCGGAUUAGAUACCCGGGUAGUCCCAGCUGUAAACCAUGCAAACUCAAUGAUGCAUUGGCUUGAAGCCAAUGCAGUGUU
This 699-nucleotide ribosomal RNA is filed under the name uncultured marine archaeon. Its description in RNAcentral is "bacterial SSU rRNA". It matches the Rfam family "Archaeal small subunit ribosomal RNA", at positions 102 to 802 of the family's 1478-position model. The record is from RNAcentral.